AACGAACGCUGGCGGCAUGCCUAACACAUGCAAGUCGAACGAGUGGCGGACGGGUGAGUAGUGGCUGGCAACCUGCGCGAUGGAGGGGGAUAACUACUGGAAAAGGUAGCUAAUACCGCACACCAUCGGAUGUGCCCAGAUGGGAUUAGCUAGUGGGUGGGGUAAUGGCUAAGCUAGGCCGCGAUCCCUAGCUGGACUGAGAGGAGGACCGGCCACACUGGAACUGGGACACGGCCCAGCCGCCUACGCGAGGCAGCAGUGGGGAAUAUGGGGCAAUGGGCGGAAGUCUGACGCAGCCAGGCCGCGUGGAUGAAGAAGGCCUUCGGGUUGUAAAGUACUUUCAGGGGGGAUGCGGUACUCGCAGAAGAAGCACCGGCUAACUACGUGCCAGCAGCCGCGGUAAUAC
Molecule: ribosomal RNA, 406 nt
Filed under: uncultured bacterium
Lineage: Bacteria
Description: partial 16S ribosomal RNA
Rfam family: Bacterial small subunit ribosomal RNA
Source: RNAcentral